GCCGCUCGCGCCUGUUGGGACGGGGCACCGGUCUCUUACGCCGGGGUGAAGGGGUUCGAAUCCUCUGGGCGGCA
Molecule: transfer RNA, 74 nt
Filed under: Actinomadura madurae
Lineage: Bacteria; Bacillati; Actinomycetota; Actinomycetes; Streptosporangiales; Thermomonosporaceae
Description: tRNA-Lys
Rfam family: tRNA
About the family: Transfer RNA (tRNA) molecules are approximately 80 nucleotides in length.
Source: RNAcentral